AUUGAACGCUGGCGGCAGGCCUAACACAUGCAAGUCGAGCGGAUGAAGGGAGCUUGCUCCUGGAUUCAGCGGCGGACGGGUGAGUAAUGCCUAGGAAUCUGCCUGGUAGUGGGGGAUAACGUCCGGAAACGGGCGCUAAUACCGCAUACGUCCUGAGGGAGAAAGUGGGGGAUCUUCGGACCUCACGCUAUCAGAUGAGCCUAGGUCGGAUUAGCUAGUUGGUGGGGUAAAGGCCUACCAAGGCGACGAUCCGUAACUGGUCUGAGAGGAUGAUCAGUCACACGGGAACUGAGACACGGUCCAGACUCCUACGGGAGGCAGCAGUGGGGAAUAUUGGACAAUGGGCGAAAGCCUGAUCCAGCCAUGCCGCGUGUGUGAAGAAGGUCUUCGGAUUGUAAAGCACUGUAAGUUGGGAGGAAGGGCAGUAAGUUAAUACCUUGCUGUUUUGACGUUACCAACAGAAUAAGCACCGGCUAACUUCGUG
RNAcentral lists this ribosomal RNA (484 nucleotides) under uncultured bacterium. RNAcentral describes it as "partial 16S ribosomal RNA". It matches the Rfam family "Bacterial small subunit ribosomal RNA", at positions 30 to 507 of the family's 1533-position model. The record is from RNAcentral.